GACGAACGCUGGCGGCGUGCUUAACACAUGCAAGUCGAACGGUGAAGCGCCUUCCUUGUUGGUGGGUGUGGAUGAGUGGCGAACUGGUGAGUAACUCGUGAGUAACCUGCUCCCUCUUGGUGGAUAACCGCAUGAAAGUGUUGCUAACACGGGAUAUUCUGGGUCUGUUGCAUCAUUGGUCUGGGAAAGUUAUUGUGUCGGUGGGGGAUGGACCCGCGCCCUAUCAGCUUGUUGGUGGGGUGAUGGCUUACCAAGGCGGUGACGAGUAGCCGGCCUGAGAGGGUCGACGAUCCCGGAGGUGCGGCGACGCCGCGAAGACUACGACGGGCAGCAGCAGGGGAGCAUACUGCACGGUGGGAGGCCGGAUGAUGCAGCGACGCCGCGUGAGGGAUGGAGGCCUGAGGGUUGUGAUCCUCUUUCGCGAAUGAAGCAGGGCUGCCUCGUUUAUGGGUGGGUUGACGGUAGCUAGAUAAGAAGCGCCGGCUAACUACGUG
RNAcentral lists this ribosomal RNA (494 nucleotides) under uncultured bacterium. RNAcentral's name for it is "partial 16S ribosomal RNA". It matches the Rfam family "Bacterial small subunit ribosomal RNA", at positions 28 to 507 of the family's 1533-position model. The record is from RNAcentral.